This 4048-nucleotide long non-coding RNA is filed under the name Xyrichtys novacula (pearly razorfish). Lineage: Eukaryota; Metazoa; Chordata; Actinopteri; Labriformes; Labridae. The record is from RNAcentral.
CAAAACCUAGCUUCGCCGCCAUUUUGACGUGUUCCUUCACCCUAGGCUCACACUAGAGCCCAACGGAGUCAACGGAGAACGAGCAACUAUGUCCGUAAUUUGUGUACCCUACAGUUGCAAAAACCGUCGCAGUAUUGAAACCAGAUCACGUACGUUUACAUUUUACAAGUAAGUUUGAAAAAUAAUUUUGGUUACUCUUAAUGUGUGACAGCGUCCAGUAUCAUAGCUACAUCUCUGCCAGUCAUAACAAACUAAACCGUGUAAAAAUUCGGGGAGUUAUGAUAAAUAUAGUAAGGCAUUCCUACCUUUCUCAAUAAAAAUAAAUGCAUGGGGGACCCAUCCAAGAUGGUGGCCGCGUUGAUACGUGAGCUCCAACAGGCAGCGUUACUGAGGCGUCUACGUGUAUUAUGUCUAUGGCUGUGUCUCAAUUCAGGGUCCGCACCAUAGACUGUUGCUGUGUCCGAAUUGCCCGCUUGCAUACUACAUACUACUGCUACAUACUACUGCCAGAUCCUACUCCUACAUACUAAACACGUUGGCCCAAUUCGGACACACUAGACGAGCGGUGGGGAGAGACGACCCCCGCAGGCAGAGAGUAGGUACUGCGCCCGUUUUAGACUCUUUGAAUGGUUAUUGUGCAAGUGAUGGAUGCUGCUGUAUUAUAUUCCUGCACUGCUUUAGAAAUUCACAAAGUAGCUUUUCCAUGACUUUUAGCCUUCAUUCACUCACGUGGUGAUCGUUUGUUCAAUGAGAUCUGCCUGAUUACUGCAGCUGUGCAGUUUAAUGAUGGAAUAAGUGAGCUUUACCUCCAUGAUGUCGCCACAUAUUUGCUCAUAAAAUAAUUACUUGGGCAAAUAUGACACCAUGACAUGACAAACAGAUACAAACGCACAUUUUUUAGGACAGUGUGUGAAGUUACAUGAAACUUACAUCUGUACUGCUGCGGUCCUGCCUGCUGCUGCUGCUGCUCCGACAUGUUGCGCGCUGCUGUGGCCAGACGGCGUUCGCGACGCAUCUAAACAGGCAGCAGCUGGUGGCGCUAGCAUAACAUGCGCUUCUACAACUUUUAAGAGGACGAAGAAGAAGCCCGCGGUGCAUUUUGGGUCAGUAGCAUGCCCGUAGGAUGCACCGCAACCAUCCUACAAUGUGGGCGUGUCUAGUAUCUGAAGUAGCAUGCUACUCGCUCCGGUGGCCAAUUCGGACAUGCUACAUACUACUUCGACUACUACUUGGCAAUUCGGAUGCAGCAUGUAUAUAGAAUGGACAGCGUCUGCCUCCUCGCUGGGUAAAGCCACUUCGAGAACAGCACCCCCUGUUGAUGGGCUGCAGUAUAGGUCAUAAAUCCUGCCUCCGCCAGCAAAGCUCAUGGGGCUGUGGACAAACUCUAGAAAUUUAUUACACAGAAUAUACAUUUUUCUCCCUCCUGCUUUUGAUGUUGACAUGUAGUUAUUGUAAGACUUGUUUGUGCUCAAGUCCUCUUUUUUUCUGUGAAGCUCCGUUUUUAAAAGUUAUUAGGGGGUUCAUGUUUUCUAUGAUUGACACCUGAUACAGCCUAUGGGCGUUCAGGGAUUGCGUAGCUCAGCCGGGGGGAUAUGCUGUUUGAGCCGAGCGUCAUCACAGUGACUCUCUGCAACUGCGCGGCCGAAUGCGCCCAUCACUACUGCGCAGCGCUGGUUUCAGGAAGUGAAGAAAAAUCCCGGAAAUAUCGAGAGCUAUUUGGCUUCAUAUCCGUAUACAGGCGGUAGGCGGAACCAAGUUGUCCAUAGUAUAUACAGUCUAUGGUCCGCAUACUGCCGAGUGCACUGCUUAGCGCACUGCCCUCUGUGCACUCUGCGUGUACGCCCUGCGCACCCUGUGUAAGGUGGAUCGACUUUUGUGAAUUGGGACGGUCAACCCAGAGCCUGUGAAAAAGGGUGUUGCGUCGUGAAGGGGGUUAGAAGCUAGAGGGUCACGUGGUUCAUGAAGCCGCCGAAUAGUUCCAAAUAGAGCUUAUUAGGUCAUUUAAAUGAACUGUUUCAGCGCGAUUUCUAGUCACUGUUUACCAAUAUUUCACGUUGCUUACAUUUAUAAAUAGAUAUAGAUGUAUUCGCACUUGACAAAUAUUCUAUGUGCAUGGGUAGGAUCAUUUUUAUUGCGAUAAUCCUUAAAAAAUUGCUGAAAUCUCCACUGAAAAGAAAGAAUGUGUACAGUAUACUAGCUGGCUUUACUUACAUUAUUGAUUGGCAAACAAUGUUUGACACUGUAACAUUACUAAAUUUCUCCGUUUAUAACAUUAACGUUAGUGAUUUUGAAAAUCCCUUACUUGUUUUAACCAUCAAGAUAAAGGAUGAAGCCUGUGUGAAAUACUCCUAAGUUGGAAAACGUGUAGGAAACUCUGUGUUGUGAAGAUUGAAAUAUCAAAAUUAUAUUGGUCUAAGUGAUCGAUCUGUUCAAUCAAUCAAUCAAUCAACUUUAUUUCUAUAGCGCAUUUAAAAGAACCACAAGGGUAGCCAAAGUGCUGUACAAUGACACAUAAAAACAAGUAAAUAAAACAACCAAAGAACAAGAUAAAGUGAGCAGAAAUACAUUAAUACAAAAGAAUAAAUAAGUAUAUAAAUAAGCAGACUCAUGGCAAGUGCUAAGAUGAUGAAAAAACAAAAUAACACUACAAUGUAUCAAAAGCCAAGGAGUAAAAGUGCAUUUUUAAAAGGGAUUUAAAAACAGGAAAUGAGGAGGCCUGUCUAAUUUUCAAGGGCAACUCAUUCCAGAGCUUCGGGGCAGCAGCGGCAAACCCUCGGUCCCCUCUGAGCUUCAGCCUUGUAUUGGGGACCAUCAGUAACAGUUGAUCAGUUGUCCAUAUACAAUAGCUGUUGCAAGAUACUCCAGGUUUCUAAGAUACCAAAUAAGUUUGGAGUACCCCCUAAUAUGCGUUUUUUCUCUUUAUUAUUACUUGUGUAAGUUUGUGCUGUUUUAGCAGCUAGCUGAACAGCAAGCAUGCAUUUCUGAGAAAAAGCUACAAUUAGCAUAGAUUUGCAAUCCUGUCACUUGUAAUAGUGUUACCGUGAUUUGAGUAUCACGGUAACAGGGUUGCAGUCCAGUAACAGGGUUGCAUAUCAUCAGUUUCACACAAUCAACAGACUAUUAUUUUUGGCCCAGUUAACAUAUUUAAACAUUAUUGAAUUUUAACAUCCACAUUUUUUCUUGAUUGCACAGACUUGACAUGAAUUAAACUGUAUUUAAAUCAUGAGUUACAAUUCACACUAGAUUAAUGAUAGACUCACCAUGUACUGACUUCACUAUUUCUCCAUGUUGCUUAUUGGGGUAUAGCACUUUGAAUUGACAUAAUUAAUUAUAUAAACUGUGGACUAAUUAUUUUUUCCUUGCCUUGCCAGGUGAUUACUUUGUCACCCGGGAAAAUGCUCUACCACGAUGUCAGCUGCAGCUGCUUUAGAACUUGGAAUCUGGACUGUGAGUGCCAAAUUAGCCAAAAAACCAAAAGCUUCAGCUUUAAUCUUGAAGAUAACCACAUAGAAGAUCCCACGCUCAGCACACCAGAAGAAGAGCCGUGGAAUACUCCUGCGGUUGUGGGGAAAUGGUGUGCCCUGGGUGAAACAGGUGAACGAGACCCACUGCCAGGUCAAAUGCAUGCAUACAGUGGGCAAAAAAAGUUUUUUCUGUCCAUUGAGGGAUGAUCUCCAUUGGUAUCCCUGUGAAGAUCUGCUGAACAUCAUUCCUUCACCAGAAAAAGUCAGCUCACACCACGUGGCAAUUGCAAGAGACAUAUGGGAUACCCUGGUCAAACAUGAACAUUAAAUUUAAAUGUUAUAGCGACCAUAGGUCGCAUGGAUCCCGCAUCACUGACAUCACACAUCGCUGACAUAACUCUUUCCGCACAUGAUUUUUUUAUAAAUCCCAGACUUCCCUUGUGUAAGAAGUGGCGUACGCACUUCCAAGCCAGGUUUUGUGCGUAAGCAAGCUUUCUAAAUGAGGCCCCUGUUGUUAUAAUAAUAAUAAUAAUAAAUUUAAUUUGUAAUGCACUUUACAUUUACAAGAAAUCUCAAAGUGCUGC